This 1353-nucleotide unclassified non-coding RNA is filed under the name uncultured Neocallimastigales. RNAcentral's name for it is "partial contains internal transcribed spacer 1, 5.8S ribosomal RNA, internal transcribed spacer 2, and large subunit ribosomal RNA". The stretch from base 592 to 1353 matches the Rfam family "Eukaryotic large subunit ribosomal RNA", at positions 1 to 624 of the family's 3401-position model. Lineage: Eukaryota; Fungi; Neocallimastigomycota; Neocallimastigomycetes; Neocallimastigales. The record is from RNAcentral.
AAAAUAAUCCUACCCUUUGUGAAUUUUGUUUGUUUGAAUAAUUUUUUUUUUUAAAAAAUUAUUGGAGUCUUUCCCUUUAGAGUUUGCUUUUGAGUUUGUAAAAGAAUUCGAAAACAUCUAAGGGGAUGGUCAAUAAUUUUUUUUGAAAAAGACAUUUUUUAAAAUUAAACUUUUUGUAUUCAUUUGUCUAAAAAUUAUUUUUAUAAUAUAAAAACAACUUUUGACAAUGGAUCUCUUGGUUCUCGCAACGAUGAAGAACGCAGCAAAAUGCGAUAAGUAGUGUGAAUUGCAGAAUACGUGAGUCAUCGAAUCUUUGAACGCAUAUUGCACUUUUUAGUUUACUAAAAAAGUAUGUCUGUUUGAGUAUCAGUAAAAUAUUCUCAUAAAAAUCAUUGUAUUUUUAUGGUUAUGAGUGUUUUACAACGAUACAAGUUGUUUCACUUUAAAUUUUUUUUUAAUAUUGAAAUUUUUCUAAUUUUAAUAAUUAAAAUUGGAUAAAAUUUUCCCGUCAAAAGGAAUAACCUAAACAAUUUUAAACGAUUAAUUUUAGCAAAAUUUUCGUAAAAAAGGAAAAUUUUUAUUAAAAUAACUUGAUCUCAAAUCAGAUAAGAGUACCCGCUGAACUUAAGCAUAUCAAUAAGCGGAGGAAAAGAAACUAACAAGGAUUCCCUUAGUAACGGCGAGUGAAGCGGGAAGAGCUCAAAUUUGAAAUCUUCAAGGUUUUACCUUGACGAAUUGUAGUUUAUAGAAGUGUUUUCUGCUGAAGUUUUGGUAAAAGUUCUUUGGAAUAGGACAUCAUAGAGGGUGAGAAUCCCGUAUUUGACCAUUAUUUUCAGCUUGUGAUACACUUUCAAAGAGUCGGAUUGUUUGGGAAUGCAGUCCAAAAUGGGUGGUAAAUUUCAUCUAAAGCUAAAUAUUGGCGAGAGACCGAUAGCGAACAGUACCGUGAGGGAAAGAUGAAAAGAACUUUGAAAAGAGAGUUAAACAGUACGUGAAAUUGUCAAAAGGGAAGCGUUUGACACCAGUGUUGUUUUCUCGAAAAUCAAUUAAAAAUGGCUCGAUUUUGUAUUGCUGAGACCUUAAAAGCUCACUGUACAUCUUUCGUGUCUUUUUUAAUGCACUUUUCGUUUAACAAGUCAACAUCAGUUUCUUUUGUUGUAAAAGGGUCAUUGGAAGGUGGCUUUCUUUUCGGAGAAAGUGUUUAUAGCCUUUGGCCUCUGCAAUCGGAGAGACUGAGGUCUGCAGCGUAGACUCUUCGGGGUUAGAUACAUUUGUGCUAAGUUAUAGCUUUUAUAGACAACUUGUUGACUAUAAUUAGUCUUGUAGCUUACUCGCUUAUGCUAUUUUACCUAC